RNAcentral lists this ribosomal RNA (1346 nucleotides) under uncultured bacterium. RNAcentral describes it as "bacterial SSU rRNA". It matches the Rfam family "Bacterial small subunit ribosomal RNA", at positions 28 to 1381 of the family's 1533-position model. The record is from RNAcentral.
GACGAACGCUGGCGGCGUGCUUAACACAUGCAAGUCGAACGGAAAGGCCCUGCUUUUGUGGGGUGCUCGAGUGGCGAACGGGUGAGUAACACGUGAGUAACCUGCCCUUGACUUUGGGAUAACUUCGGGAAACUGGGGCUAAUACCGGAUAGGAGCUCCUGCUGCAUGGUGGGGGUUGGAAAGUUUCGGCGGUUGGGGAUGGACUCGCGGCCUAUCAGCUUGUUGGUGGGGUAGUGGCUUACCAAGGCUUUGACGGGUAGCCGGCCUGAGAGGGUGACCGGCCACAUUGGGACUGAGAUACGGCCCGGACUCCUACGGGAGGCAGCAGUGGGGAAUAUUGCACAAUGGGCGGAAGCCUGAUGCAGCAACGCCGCGUGCGGGAUGACGGCCUUCGGGUUGUAAACCGCUUUCGCCUGUGACGAAGCGUGAGUGACGGUAAUGGGUAAAGAAGCACCGGCUAACUACGUGCCAGCAGCCGCGGUGAUACGUAGGGUGCGAGCGUUGUCCGGAUUUAUUGGGCGUAAAGGGCUCGUAGGUGGUUGAUCGCGUCGGAAGUGUAAUCUUGGGGCUUAACCCUGAGCGUGCUUUCGAUACGGGUUGACUUGAGGAAGGUAGGGGAGAAUGGAAUUCCUGGUGGAGCGGUGGAAUGCGCAGAUAUCAGGAGGAACACCAGUGGCGAAGGCGGUUCUCUGGGCCUUUCCUGACGCUGAGGAGCGAAAGCGUGGGGAGCGAACAGGCUUAGAUACCCUGGUAGUCCACGCUGUAAACGGUGGGUACUAGGUGUGGGGUCCAUUCCACGGGUUCCGUGCCGUAGCUAACGCUUUAAGUACCCCGCCUGGGGAGUACGGCCGCAAGGCUAAAACUCAAAGGAAUUGACGGGGCCCCGCACAAGCGGCGGAGCAUGCGGAUUAAUUCGAUGCAACGCGUAGAACCUUACCUGGGUUUGACAUGGAUCGGGAGCGCUCAGAGAUGGGUGUGCCUCUUUUGGGGUCGGUUCACAGGUGGUGCAUGGCUGUCGUCAGCUCGUGUCGUGAGAUGUUGGGUUAAGUCCCGCAACGAGCGCAACCCUUGUUCACUGUUGCCAGCACGUUAUGGUGGGGACUCAGUGGAGACCGCCGGGGUCAACUCGGAGGAAGGUGGGGAUGACGUCAAGUCAUCAUGCCCCUUAUGUCCAGGGCUUCACGCAUGCUACAAUGGCUGGUACAGAGAGUGGCGAGCCUGUGAGGGUGAGCGAAUCUCGGAAAGCCGGUCUCAGUUCGGAUUGGGGUCUGCAACUCGACCUCAUGAAGUCGGAGUCGCUAGUAAUCGCAGAUCAGCAACGCUGCGGUGAAUACGUUCCCGGGGCU